UUAUGGAGAGUUUGAUCCUGGCUCAGGAUGAACGCUGGCGGCGUGCCUAAUACAUGCAAGUCGAGCGAACAGACGAGGAGCGUGCUCCUCUGACGUUAGCGGCGGACGGGUGAGUAACACGUGGGUAACCUACCUAUAAGACUGGGAUAACUCCGGGAAACCGGGGCUAAUACCGGAUAA
This 180-nucleotide ribosomal RNA is filed under the name Staphylococcus simulans. RNAcentral's name for it is "partial 16S ribosomal RNA". It matches the Rfam family "Bacterial small subunit ribosomal RNA", at positions 1 to 176 of the family's 1533-position model. Lineage: Bacteria; Bacillati; Bacillota; Bacilli; Caryophanales; Staphylococcaceae. The record is from RNAcentral.